RNAcentral lists this ribosomal RNA (486 nucleotides) under uncultured bacterium. RNAcentral's name for it is "partial 16S ribosomal RNA". It matches the Rfam family "Bacterial small subunit ribosomal RNA", at positions 30 to 507 of the family's 1533-position model. The record is from RNAcentral.
AUUGAACGCUGGCGGCAUGCCUUACACAUGCAAGUCGAACGGCAGCACGGGUUCUUGCACCUGGUGGCGAGUGGCGAACGGGUGAGUAAUACAUCGGAACAUGUCCUGUAGUGGGGGAUAGCCCGGCGAAAGCCGGAUUAAUACCGCAUACGAUCUACGGAUGAAAGCGGGGGACCUUCGGGCCUCGCGCUAUAGGGUUGGCCGAUGGCUGAUUAGCUAGUUGGUGGGGUAAAGGCCUACCAAGGCGACGAUCAGUAGCUGGUCUGAGAGGACGACCAGCCACACUGGGACUGAGACACGGCCCAGACUCCUACGGGAGGCAGCAGUGGGGAAUUUUGGACAAUGGGCGAAAGCCUGAUCCAGCAAUGCCGCGUGUGUGAAGAAGGCCUUCGGGUUGUAAAGCACUUUUGUCCGGAAAGAAAUCCUUGUCUCUAAUACAGUCGGGGGAUGACGGUACCGGAAGAAUAAGCACCGGCUAACUACGUG